Populus trichocarpa (black cottonwood) is the source of this 156-nucleotide non-coding RNA. NCBI's taxonomy places the organism in Eukaryota, Viridiplantae, Streptophyta, Magnoliopsida, Malpighiales, Salicaceae. The record is from Rfam.
UCUAUAACUCUAGAUAUGGGCUCAACACCGAAAAUUAUCUGGGUUGUAGGACAAAUUUAGAUUUCUCUUUUUUUGCUAAGAUUUGAACUGAAAAACAACAGUAUUGAGUCUUGGUCUCUUCAUAAAUAUUUUAGAUCAACAUAUUCGCUUUCCAUC